Molecule: ribosomal RNA, 397 nt
Filed under: Megabruchidius tonkineus
Lineage: Eukaryota; Metazoa; Arthropoda; Insecta; Coleoptera; Chrysomelidae
Description: partial 12S ribosomal RNA
Source: RNAcentral
UAAACUAGGAUUAGAUACCCUAUUAUUUUAAAUGUGAAUUUUUAUACUAAAUUAGUAUUAGUUAAUUUCUUGAAAAUUAAAAAAUUUGGCGGUAUUUUAGUCUUUUCAGAGGAACCUGUCCUGUAAUUGAUGGUCCACGAUAAAAUUUACUUUAUUUAUUAAUUUGCAUAUCGUCGUAGUUUAAGUAUUUUAUUAGAAAUUUAAUAUUUAUAAUUUUUUAUUAGAAAAGAUAUCAGAUCAAGGUGUAGUUUAUAGUAAAGUAGAGAUGGGUUACAAUAAAUUUAUUUAAGGAAAAUUCUUUUUAUAAGAAUUUGAAUUUGGAUUUGAGAGUAAUUUUAAAUAUUUUUUUAAAAUGAUUAAAGCUCUAAAAUAUGUACACAUCGCCCGUCGCUCUUAA